RNAcentral lists this ribosomal RNA (917 nucleotides) under uncultured bacterium. RNAcentral describes it as "bacterial SSU rRNA". It matches the Rfam family "Bacterial small subunit ribosomal RNA", at positions 9 to 920 of the family's 1533-position model. The record is from RNAcentral.
GAGUUUGAUCCUGGCUCAGAGCGAACGUUGGCAGUGUGUCUUAAGCAUGCAAGUCGAACGGCAGCAGGCCAUAUAGCAAUAUAUGGUGCUGGCGAGUGGCGAACCGGUGAGUAACGCGUAAGAAUCUACCCUCUGGUGGAGGAUAACUCAUGGAAACAUGAGCUAAUACCGCAUGAAGCCGAACCCAUAGUGAUAUGAGCUUGGUAAAAGGAGAAAUCCGCCAGUGGAUGAGCUUGCGUCCCAUUAGCUAGUUGGUAGGGUAAGAGCCUACCAAGGCGAUGAUGGGUAGCUGGCCUGAGAGGGUGGUCAGCCACACUGGGACUGAGAUACGGCCCAGACUCCUACGGGAGGCAGCAGCUAAGAAUCUUCCUCAAUGGGGGAAACCCUGAAGGAGCGACACUGCGUGCAGGAUGAAGGCCCUUUGGGUUGUAAACUGCUUUUGUAGGGGAGAAAUAACCGAAUGGGAUGAUAGUACCCUACGAAUAAGUCCCGGCUAACUACGUGCCAGCAGCCGCGGUAAAACGUAAGGGGCGAACGUUGCUCGGAAUUACUGGGCGUAAAGGGCCGGUAGGUGGCUUUAUAAGUCAGUUGUCAAAUACCCAUGCUCAACGUGGGAGAGGCGACUGAUACUGUAGAGCUUGAGUAGAGGAGGGGAUGACGGAAUACCCGGUGUAGGGGUGAAAUCUGUUGAUAUCGGGUAGAACACCGAUGGCGAAAGCGGUCAUCUAGCCUCAUACUGACACUNCACGGCGAAAGCCAGGGGAGCGAACGGGGAUAGAUACCCCGGUAGUCCUGGCCAUAAACGAUGCAUGCUANGUAUUGGCACCGCGUUGGUGAUAGUACCGUAGCUUACGCGUUUAGCAUGCCCGCUGGGGAGUAUGCUCGCAAGAGUGAAAACUCAAGGAAUUGACGGAUCU